RNAcentral lists this long non-coding RNA (615 nucleotides) under Lathyrus oleraceus (garden pea). RNAcentral describes it as "Pisum sativum (pea) long non-coding RNA (PSAT_LNC017600)". The record is from RNAcentral. Lineage: Eukaryota; Viridiplantae; Streptophyta; Magnoliopsida; Fabales; Fabaceae.
UUGAAUCGAGCUAUUUAAGAAAAAAAGACUUGAUUAUUUAUUUGUUAGAAAUGGUUUGAUUUGAUUUGAUUUUUGAAAAAAAAAACUUGAUGUGAUCAAGUAUUUUUCUUUGAUUCUAGAAAGAUUGAUUUUAAUGGUAAUUUUAUUUAUUUUUGUUAAUUGACUAAUUUAAAUAAUCUAAAUUAAUUAAACUAAAAAAAAGAAAUAAAAACGGGUGUGUAAAUAAUAUAAGGGAUGAUGUAAUAGUAAACUUAGAUGGACUAGAGGCUCAAAACAAAACAAAAAAAUAAUGAUAAGAUAAAAUAAAACAACAAAAAAAGUACAAAAAAGAAAGAAAAAAAAGGUGUAGCGUUGAGGCCCACUUGAAUGUCCCAAUCACUUCUUCCCUCACACCGUGAGGGGGUGUGAGGAAGUAAUUAGGAUGUUUGGCUGAGUAAACAAACAAAGCCCAAAGCUGAGGGGCCCAAAGCACUGAGGAAUCAACAGAACGUAUUUUUGACUCCAACAGAAACAUUGGAUCAUCAUACAAUUAGGGGUCAACGCAAAUCCAGUUGCUUAGGAAAAAAUGCUUGCGUGGUGCAAUGGGGACUCCUGUACAAGAGUCCCAAGGUCAAC